UCCACAACAACACGGAUGGCGAACGGGAUAGCCGAGAAUAUGUUCGAAUCCACGGUAAAAUCAGUUUUAAAUUACCAUAAACACAUCGACACGAGUCCUUGACAACAGUCUGUCUCGCGCUAGCCAUGUUGAAUAAACUCCGCUCUCCUCGUAUGUUUACUUCCGCGCGCAAGUCCCUCGUCGUUUUACUAACGUCACGUCUGCCAUCUCGGUGCUCGGAUGGAUAAAAAGAGCAAGGGUGGUGCUGAAAAAAUAAGAAUUAAAAAGAGAAAAGCACUCGAAAAAAAUCGGCAAAAUGCGCAAAAGUAGCUAUUUUUUUUCAUGCAACGACCUCGUUGCCUCAAACUACAGAGGAUUACAACGAAAGUGCACCUCACAAGGGAUAUGUAGCAGCAAGCAUUAGCCAUAAUGAACACAUCACAGGUGCAGAGCUGGAAGUGGCAGACACGGGGGGAAGUGGCGAGGAUGGGAUUGCUGCCAUUGAUGCUGUCAGUGUUGAAAAAACAGAAAUCCAGUGUUAGAUCGAGCGUGCGUGUUUGUGAAUAGCUCCUCAAGAUGUGGGCUGCCCCCUACUUGAACUCGAGGCGCAGUGCAUGACCGAUCUGACCCGUCAACACCAUUAUGAAGUCUAUGCAAUAUUAAAAAGCCUGCUUGGUGACAUUAGGGUGUUCAAAUACUGAUUUUCUUUCUGUGUGGUAUAAACGAUUCAAUUCUCUACCAAUCACAGCAUCCCCUGUCAAUCCCUUCAAAAGUGGUGUUGUGGAAAAGUACGUCCUGAAAUAAUCAUUUGCUUGUUUUCAGCCCCUCCCAGUCAAAAUGGAUUUGAUGCUUAAUGCUGGCAAUGAGUUUCCAAUUAAUCUGAACCCCCACUGAAGUUCAAAUCCUAGUCGCACCCCCAAUUAUGACCCACGGUGGCUUUCGGGCUCUCCGCAUGUUGCAACCAGCCGCAUAGUGUUGUGAUUACAGCAAGGAGACAUGCGCUUCCCUCCCAAGAUCUUCCCUGAGGCGAACACAGAUCGCAUCAAAUACGG
Long non-coding RNA from Corythoichthys intestinalis (scribbled pipefish), 1031 nucleotides. RefSeq lists it as uncharacterized. NCBI's taxonomy places the organism in Eukaryota, Metazoa, Chordata, Actinopteri, Syngnathiformes, Syngnathidae. The record is from RefSeq and is a predicted model, not a curated record. The transcript is spliced from 4 exons.